This is a non-coding RNA of Penaeus vannamei (Pacific white shrimp), 1097 nucleotides long. Lineage: Eukaryota; Metazoa; Arthropoda; Malacostraca; Decapoda; Penaeidae. The record is from RefSeq and is a predicted model, not a curated record.
AGAUUCCAGAAGAAGCCUUCAAGCCACGAAGCCCGACGACAUCGAACCAUGUAGUUCACUCGCACAGCACCAUCACUGUCGCUGCCAUACAGGGCUUUCCUCUUUCGGCUUUUCAGGAAGCGUACACAGCUCGGCAUCGGCUGUCGGGGCGAAAGAGGACCAGGAACUGGCAGUGGAUUUCAUCAGUAUUUGCUAGAUAAAUGGAGGUAAAAGCGUGGAAUGAAAAGCAGAAUAGAAUUGAUGAUAAAGUGGAAGCAUGGCUGCAUUCUCCCAAACCGAAGGGGAUCGAGUUAUGCGUAGAACACCUUACCGCCGAACUUACCACACUCAUGGCGAAUAAGGGAGGCCACAAGGGACUUCGGUAGGGUCAAAGAAGACACAUGAAGAGAGGAAAGGAAUUCAGAACAAAGGAAAACCGCCCAUAGGAAGACCCAGACAAAUGACCCUCCUUACCCAGGGGCCAAAGUCCGCGCGAGCUACCGUGGUGUAGGAGAGUGCUGUGGGUCUGAGGUGGGGUGCUGACUGCGCCUACUGUAGUCUCGUACGACCUGCAAGAUCAGAGCAAUGGAGGUACAGGUAAAGUACAAAGUGCAGAAAGAUAUGAAAAAUCAGAUAUUUACUUUUAUAUUUAUUACGGGAGUGACUGUUGCUGCUGCUGCUACGUCUGAAAAAUGAGGUGCGAGUAUAUCAGUUUCUGUUACAGGAAUAGCUGUGCUUAUAAAGAAGCUCAGGCAAACAGUUGAACUUCAUUAUACGUCCGAGAGGGUUGCACAGAAAUGAACUUGGAAAAUAGCAACUGAAGAACAACAGAACAUAAAUCAGAGAACCGUUCUACGCAAAAAAUCUAUAUUUCGAAAUGCUUCCUGCACAUAAAAAGUGACUGAAAAGUGCAUUCAACUUACCUCUCAUUUACCAGAAGGGAUAAGCCUGAAAUCAUAGAAGAAUGGAGUCGAGGAAAGAUACAGCCCUUGUUUUUGUAGGAUUACAGUGCCAACUGGCUCGACUCGUUAUUCCAAAACAUUCUAUCUUCUGAUUGUACAUUCACAUGAAUCUUAAUCUUAAUCUCUCUCUCUCUCUCGCUCUCGCUCUCUCGCUCU